GGGGUGAGCCCAAACCGUAGAUGUGCCAAGGAUGCAGCCGUUGCAUCUACGGGGUAGCGGGAAGAUCGUCUGAAGAACUGCAAGGUAUUCGACAUUAUGAUACGCCGAACUGGAAAGGUCUGGAAAGGCCUGCCGUAGAGAGUGAAAGCCUCGUACAGGUAAACCGUAUCAAAUGUAUGAUCUCUCCCAAGUAGCACGGAACACGAGGAAUUCUGUGUGAAUCUGCGAGGACCAUAUCUCGUAAGGCUAAAUACUCUUACUUACCGAUAGCGCAUAGUACCGUGAGGGAAAGGUGAAAAGAACCCCGGGAGGGGAGUGAAAUAGAACCUGAAAUCGUGUGCUUACAAGCGGUCAGAGCCCUUUGGGGUGAUGGCGUGCCUUUUGGAGAAUGAUCCUGCGAGUUACGUUCAGUGGCAAGGUUAAGUUUAACGGAGCCGAAGGGAAACCGAGUCUGAAUAGGGCGACAUAGUCGCUGGGCGUAGACGCGAAACCUGGUGAUCUAAGCCUGUCCAGGGUGAAGCUGUGGUAAGACACAGUGGAGGCCCGAACUCACCGCCGUUGAAAAGUUGGGAGAUGAGGUAGGUUUAGGGGUGAAAAGCCAAUCGAACCAGGAGAUAGCUCGUUCUCUCCGAAAUGCAUUUAGGUGCAGCCUUGAGUGUUCAAUUAUGGGGGUAGAGCACUGAAUGACCUAGGGGGCAUACUGCUUACCGAAGUCAAUCAAACUCCGAAUACCAUAAUUCUAGAGCUCAGGAGUGAGACUAUGGGAAUUAACUUCCAUGGUCAAAAGGGAAACAACCCAGACCACCAGCUAAGGUCCCUAAUUAUAACUAAGUGGGAAAGGAGGUGGAGAUUCACAAACAACCAGGAGGUUGGCUUAGAAGCAGCCAUACCUUUAAAGAGUGCGUAAUAGCUCACUGGUCGAGAGUCUCUGCGCCGACAAUGUAACGGGGCUAAGUUAUAAACCGAAGCUGUGGAGUUGCGUAAGCGACUGGUAGGAGAGCGUUCUGUAGGCCGUUGAAGGAGAAUCGACAAGAGACUCUGGAGGUAUCAGAAGUGAGAAUGCAGGAAUAAGUAGCGAGAAUGGGGGCGAGAAUCCCCCACGCCGGAAGACCAAGGGUUCCAGGGUAAAGUUUGUCUCCCCUGGGUAAGCCGGGUCCUAAGCCGAGGCUAGAUUGCGUAGGCGAAUGGAAAACAGAUUAAUAUUUCUGUGCCACUGAUAUCAAGUGAUGGAGGGACGCAGGAGGUUAUGCACGCUGGCGAACGGAAGUGCCAGUUCAAGCAUGUAGCGUGGUCUAGUAGGAAAAUCCGCUAGACUAAACGUGAGGUGUGAUGAGGAGUCGUAAGAUGGAAGGUGCAAAUACCACACUGCCGAGAAAAGCUUCUAAGCGUUAUAAAGAUAUUAGUGCCCGUACCCCAAACCGACACAGGUGGUCAGGAUGAGAAAUCUAAGGCGGACAGGCUAACUCUCGUUAAGGAACUCUGCAAAAUAGCCCCGUAACUUCGGGAGAAGGGGUGCCUUUUAUGGUGAGCGUACACGCGACGCAAAGCUAUGAGAGGCCGCAGUGAAGAGUCUCAGGCGACUGUUUAACAAAAACACAGGUCUAUGCUAAGCUGUAAGGCGACGUAUAUGGGCUGACACCUGCCCAGUGCCGGAAGGUUAAGAGGAGGAGUGAGAGCUCCGAAUUGAAGCCCCGGUGAACGGCGGCCGUAACUAUAACGGUCCUAAGGUAGCGAAAUUCCUUGUCGGGUAAGUUCCGACCUGCACGAAUGGUGUAACGAUCUGAGAGCUGUCUUGACGGGAGGCCUGGUGAAAUUGUAUUACCGGUGAAGAUACCGGUUACCUGCAGUAGGACGGAAAGACCCCAUGGAGCUUUACUGUAGCUUGGUAUUGGGUUUUGGCAUCGUAUGUAUAGGAUAGUUGGGAGACUAUGAUGCGUGGUCGCUAGAUUACGCGGA
Ribosomal RNA from Cetobacterium somerae ATCC BAA-474, 1956 nucleotides. It matches the Rfam family "Bacterial large subunit ribosomal RNA", at positions 260 to 2184 of the family's 2925-position model. The record is from Rfam. NCBI's taxonomy places the organism in Bacteria, Fusobacteriati, Fusobacteriota, Fusobacteriia, Fusobacteriales, Fusobacteriaceae.